UGGGGAAUAUUGCACAAUGGAGGGAACUCUGAUGCAGCGACGCCGCGUGAGUGAUGAAGGAAUUCGUUUCGUAAAACUCUGUUCUAUGGGAAGAAAAGGACUGUACCAUAGGAGAAAGCUCCGGCUAAAUACGUGCCAGCAGCCGCGGUAAUACGUAUGGAGCGAGCGUUGUCCGGAAUUAUUGGGCGUAAAAGGUGCGCAGGCGGCUUUACAAGUUGGAUGUGAAAUAUUGUGGCUCAACCACAAACGUGCAUCCAAAACUGCAAAGCUUGAGUUAAGGAGAGGUAAGUGGAAUUCCUGGUGUAGCGGUGGAAUGCGUAGAUAUCAGGAGGAAUACCGGUGGCGAAAGCGACUUACUGGACUUAAACUGACGCUCAGGCACGAAAGCGUGGGGAGCAAACAGG
RNAcentral lists this ribosomal RNA (404 nucleotides) under Fusobacteriota bacterium. RNAcentral describes it as "Fusobacteria bacterium partial 16S ribosomal RNA". It matches the Rfam family "Bacterial small subunit ribosomal RNA", at positions 355 to 776 of the family's 1533-position model. The record is from RNAcentral. Lineage: Bacteria; Fusobacteriati; Fusobacteriota.